RNAcentral lists this ribosomal RNA (2904 nucleotides) under Klebsiella pneumoniae. RNAcentral describes it as "bacterial LSU rRNA". It matches the Rfam family "Bacterial large subunit ribosomal RNA". RNAcentral also lists the same sequence under 1 other name. The record is from RNAcentral. Lineage: Bacteria; Pseudomonadati; Pseudomonadota; Gammaproteobacteria; Enterobacterales; Enterobacteriaceae.
UUAAGCGACUAAGCGUACACGGUGGAUGCCCUGGCAGUCAGAGGCGAUGAAGGACGUGCUAAUCUGCGAAAAGCGUCGGUAAGGUGAUAUGAACCGUUAUAGCCGGCGAUGUCCGAAUGGGGAAACCCAGUGCAAUUCGUUGCACUAUCGUUAACUGAAUACAUAGGUUAACGAGGCGAACCGGGGGAACUGAAACAUCUAAGUACCCCGAGGAAAAGAAAUCAACCGAGAUUCCCCCAGUAGCGGCGAGCGAACGGGGAGCAGCCCAGAGUCUGAAUCAGCUUGUGUGUUAGUGGAACGGUCUGGAAAGUCCGACGGUACAGGGUGAUAGUCCCGUACACCAAAAUGCACAGGUUGUGAACUCGAAGAGUAGGGCGGGACACGUGGUAUCCUGUCUGAAUAUGGGGGGACCAUCCUCCAAGGCUAAAUACUCCUGACUGACCGAUAGUGAACCAGUACCGUGAGGGAAAGGCGAAAAGAACCCCGGCGAGGGGAGUGAAAAAGAACCUGAAACCGUGUACGUACAAGCAGUGGGAGCACCUUCGGGUGUGACUGCGUACCUUUUGUAUAAUGGGUCAGCGACUUAUAUUCUGUAGCAAGGUUAACCGUAUAGGGGAGCCGCAGGGAAACCGAGUCUUAACUGGGCGUUAAGUUGCAGGGUAUAGACCCGAAACCCGGUGAUCUAGCCAUGGGCAGGUUGAAGGUUGGGUAACACUAACUGGAGGACCGAACCGACUAAUGUUGAAAAAUUAGCGGAUGACUUGUGGCUGGGGGGUGAAAGGCCAAUCAAACCGGGAGAUAGCUGGUUCUCCCCGAAAGCUAUUUAGGUAGCGCCUCGUGAACUCAUCUUCGGGGGUAGAGCACUGUUUCGGCUAGGGGGUCAUCCCGACUUACCAACCCGAUGCAAACUACGAAUACCGAAGAAUGUUAUCACGGGAGACACACGGCGGGUGCUAACGUCCGUCGUGAAGAGGGAAACAACCCAGACCGCCAGCUAAGGUCCCAAAGUCAUGGUUAAGUGGGAAACGAUGUGGGAAGGCACAGACAGCCAGGAUGUUGGCUUAGAAGCAGCCAUCAUUUAAAGAAAGCGUAAUAGCUCACUGGUCGAGUCGGCCUGCGCGGAAGAUGUAACGGGGCUAAACCAUGCACCGAAGCUGCGGCAGCGACGCUUAUGCGUUGUUGGGUAGGGGAGCGUUCUGUAAGCCUGCGAAGGUGGCCUGUGAGGGCUGCUGGAGGUAUCAGAAGUGCGAAUGCUGACAUAAGUAACGAUAAAGCGGGUGAAAAGCCCGCUCGCCGGAAGACCAAGGGUUCCUGUCCAACGUUAAUCGGGGCAGGGUGAGUCGACCCCUAAGGCGAGGCCGAAAGGCGUAGUCGAUGGGAAACAGGUUAAUAUUCCUGUACUUGGUGUUACUGCGAAGGGGGGACGGAGAAGGCUAUGUUAGCCGGGCGACGGUUGUCCCGGUUUAAGCAUGUAGGCGGAGGUUCCAGGUAAAUCCGGUACCUUUUAACGCUGAGGUGUGAUGACGAGGCACUACGGUGCUGAAGUAACAAAUGCCCUGCUUCCAGGAAAAGCCUCUAAGCAUCAGGUAACAUCAAAUCGUACCCCAAACCGACACAGGUGGUCAGGUAGAGAAUACCAAGGCGCUUGAGAGAACUCGGGUGAAGGAACUAGGCAAAAUGGUGCCGUAACUUCGGGAGAAGGCACGCUGGUGUGUAGGUGAAGUCCCUGCGGACGGAGCUGAGACCAGUCAAAGAUACCAGCUGGCUGCAACUGUUUAUUAAAAACACAGCACUGUGCAAACACGAAAGUGGACGUAUACGGUGUGACGCCUGCCCGGUGCCGGAAGGUUAAUUGAUGGGGUUAUCCGUAAGGAGAAGCUCUUGAUCGAAGCCCCGGUAAACGGCGGCCGUAACUAUAACGGUCCUAAGGUAGCGAAAUUCCUUGUCGGGUAAGUUCCGACCUGCACGAAUGGCGUAAUGAUGGCCAGGCUGUCUCCACCCGAGACUCAGUGAAAUUGAACUCGCUGUGAAGAUGCAGUGUACCCGCGGCAAGACGGAAAGACCCCGUGAACCUUUACUAUAGCUUGACACUGAACAUUGAGCCUUGAUGUGUAGGAUAGGUGGGAGGCUUUGAAGCGUGGACGCCAGUCUGCGUGGAGCCAACCUUGAAAUACCACCCUUUAAUGUUUGAUGUUCUAACGUUGGCCCCUUAUCGGGGUUGCGGACAGUGUCUGGUGGGUAGUUUGACUGGGGCGGUCUCCUCCCAAAGAGUAACGGAGGAGCACGAAGGUUAGCUAAUCCUGGUCGGACAUCAGGAGGUUAGUGCAAUGGCAUAAGCUAGCUUGACUGCGAGCGUGACGGCGCGAGCAGGUGCGAAAGCAGGUCAUAGUGAUCCGGUGGUUCUGAAUGGAAGGGCCAUCGCUCAACGGAUAAAAGGUACUCCGGGGAUAACAGGCUGAUACCGCCCAAGAGUUCAUAUCGACGGCGGUGUUUGGCACCUCGAUGUCGGCUCAUCACAUCCUGGGGCUGAAGUAGGUCCCAAGGGUAUGGCUGUUCGCCAUUUAAAGUGGUACGCGAGCUGGGUUUAGAACGUCGUGAGACAGUUCGGUCCCUAUCUGCCGUGGGCGCUGGAGAAUUGAGGGGGGCUGCUCCUAGUACGAGAGGACCGGAGUGGACGCAUCACUGGUGUUCGGGUUGUCAUGCCAAUGGCACUGCCCGGUAGCUAAAUGCGGAAGAGAUAAGUGCUGAAAGCAUCUAAGCACGAAACUUGCCCCGAGAUGAGUUCUCCCUGAGACUUUAAGUCUCCUGAAGGAACGUUGAAGACGACGACGUUGAUAGGCCGGGUGUGUAAGCGCAGCGAUGCGUUGAGCUAACCGGUACUAAUGAACCGUGAGGCUUAACCUU